GUGGGGAAUAUUGGACAAUGGGGGGAACCCUGAUCCAGCCAUGCCGCGUGUGUGAAGAAGGCCUUUUGGUUGUAAAGCACUUUAAGCGAGGAGGAGGCUACCGAGAUUAAUACUCUUGGAUAGUGGACGUUACUCGCAGAAUAAGCACCGGCUAACUCUGUGCCAGCAGCCGCGGUAAUACAGAGGGUGCACGCGUUAAUCGGAUUUACUGGGCGUAAAGCGCGCGUAGGUGGCCAAUUAAGUCAAAUGUGAAAUCCCCGAGCUUAACUUGGGAAUUGCAUUCGAUACUGGUUGGCUAGAGUAUGGGAGAGGAUGGUAGAAUUCCAGGUGUAGCGGUGAAAUGCGUAGAGAUCUGGAGGAAUACCGAUGGCGAAGGCAGCCAUCUGGCCUAAUACUGACACUGAGGUGCGAAAGCAUGGGGAGCAAACAGGAUUAGAAACCCUGGUAGUCC
RNAcentral lists this ribosomal RNA (451 nucleotides) under uncultured bacterium. Its description in RNAcentral is "partial 16S ribosomal RNA". It matches the Rfam family "Bacterial small subunit ribosomal RNA", at positions 354 to 796 of the family's 1533-position model. The record is from RNAcentral.